AAACUUUAUAUUCAUAAAAUGAUAUUAAAUUGCAAAUUUAAAAGUAUUAAUUUAAAAUUAAUUAAAGUUUA
RNAcentral lists this transfer RNA (71 nucleotides) under Stomaphis sinisalicis. RNAcentral's name for it is "tRNA-Cys". The record is from RNAcentral. Lineage: Eukaryota; Metazoa; Arthropoda; Insecta; Hemiptera; Aphididae.